This 434-nucleotide ribosomal RNA is filed under the name uncultured bacterium. Its description in RNAcentral is "partial 16S ribosomal RNA". It matches the Rfam family "Bacterial small subunit ribosomal RNA", at positions 27 to 507 of the family's 1533-position model. The record is from RNAcentral.
GAACGAACGCUGGCGGCAUGCCUACCCCAUGCAAGUCGAACGAGACCUUCGGGUCUCGUGGCGCACGGGUGCGUAACGCGUGGGAACCUGCCUUUAGGUUCGGAAUAACUCAGAGAAAUUUGAGCUAAUACCGGAUGAUGUCUUCGGACCAAAGAUUUAUCGCCUUUAGAUGGGCCCGCGUUGGAUUAGCUAGUUGGUGGGGUAAAGGCCUACCAAGGCGACGAUCCAUAGCUGGUCUGAGAGGAUGAUCAGCCACACUGGGACUGAGACACGGCCCAGACUCCUACGGGAGGCAGCAGUGGGGAAUAUUGGACAAUGGGCGAAAGCCUGAUCCAGCAAUGCCGCGUGAGUGAUGAAGGCCUUAGGGUUGUAAAGCUCUUUUACCCGAGAUGAUAAUGACAGUAUCGGGAGAAUAAGCUCCGGCUAACUCCGUG